Molecule: ribosomal RNA, 698 nt
Filed under: uncultured bacterium
Lineage: Bacteria
Description: bacterial SSU rRNA
Rfam family: Bacterial small subunit ribosomal RNA
Source: RNAcentral
GGCUAGAGUUUGAUCAUGGCUCAGGACGAACGCUGGCGGCGUGCUUAACACAUGCAAGUCGAACGGACGUUACCGAUCAGAAUUUUUCGGAAGGACGAACGGUAAGGUUAGUGGCGGACGGGUGAGUAACACGUGGGUAAUCUACCGUAGAGACCGGGACAACAGUUGGAAACGACUGCUAAUACCGGAUGAAGUACAGAGUCGGCAUCGACUUUGUAUGAAAGGAGGCCUCUGGCAUAAGCUCCCGCUCUAUGAUGAGCCCGCGCCUGAUUAGCUAGUUGGUAGGGUAACGGCCUACCAAGGCGACGAUCAGUAGCCGGCCUGAGAGGGUGAUCGGCCACAUUGGGACUGAGACACGGCCCAAACUCCUACGGGAGGCAGCAGUGGGGAAUAUUCCGCAAUGGGCGCAAGCCUGACGGAGCAGCGCCGCGUGAAUGAAGAAGGUUUUCGGAUUGUAAAGUUCUGUUCUUAGGGACGAAGGACCCAUGCGAAGAGUGUGGGGGAUGACGGUACCUAAGGAGCAAGCUCCGGCUAACUACGUGCCAGCAGCCGCGGUAAUACGUAGGGAGCAAGCGUUGUCCGGAAUUACUGGGCGUAAAGGGCGCGUAGGCGGAUUGUUAAGUCAGAUGUGAAAUACCCGGGCUCAACCCGGGGGGUGCAUUUGAAACUGGCGAUCUUGAGGGCAGGAGAGGAAAGUG